CAGCAUCCUUGUCACUGAUGGUCAUUCUUUAGGAAGAAUUGGAAGUGAAACUCCACAGCAAAGUAGUUGAACAUCACACUUGUUUGCAGAAGGCAAGUGAGAGAGACCACUGAAAUACCACAGGUCAAGAGUUACACAUUAUUAGAGCAUCCUUGCCGACAGGAAGAGCAACAGUGCAAAAGGGUGGGCCACAGUAACUCGCACAGUCCAGAUACUUUGCAAUUCUGUCCUGAACCCAUGUUCCUGAGGCUUCCAGGCUCCCAUCUGAAGAGCUGGGAGACCCUCAUCAGAUCUGGAUCUUCCAGGAGUUCCCAGUUCUACAGUGGGCACGCUGACAUCCUUGAGGCUCCUAGAUCCAUGGCAGUCCCCUAGAAAUGCUGUCCCUAAUCUCAAAAGCCUCAAGCUUUGAGUAUCUAACAACUUGCAUUACAGAAACCAGGCUGCACCAUUUCCCAGCUUGCAGUUCCCUGGUUGUUUCCUCAAGGACUCAGUAUUUGCAGGUGAGACACAAUUGCAAUGUGCUUGGGAUGGGAAAGGUGAAUGGGGACAUACAGUCACAGCCACAAAUGAAUCCUAUCUUGCAGAAGAGUGUGUGCCACACCAGGCUAUAUCAAUGGGACAGCCAUAGUAUCCCUCAUAAAGCUGGGCUUGAUAUUUUCCUUAAUGGUACCUUACCUUAUGAAGCCGACAACCUGACAUGUAUAUUUAUUGAAAAAUAUAUAUCAUCACACAACUGCCUCCUUCUCUACAGCAUCCCAAAGUGCAUCCUAUGUUCCUAGAGCAAGAUACAAUCAGGGAAAAAAAAGGAAGGAAUUCACAGUAAAUUAUACUGUAUUGUUAAGAUUAUAGAACUGUGAAGGAGAAAAGAUUUAUUACUCCUUUUCAUGAAAAGACAGAUCUUAUCAGAAAACACUGACAACAACAACGACUCUAUU
Long non-coding RNA from Haliaeetus leucocephalus (bald eagle), 935 nucleotides. RefSeq lists it as uncharacterized. NCBI's taxonomy places the organism in Eukaryota, Metazoa, Chordata, Aves, Accipitriformes, Accipitridae. The transcript has 3 exons. The record is from RefSeq and is a predicted model, not a curated record.